RNAcentral lists this ribosomal RNA (440 nucleotides) under uncultured Moryella sp. Its description in RNAcentral is "bacterial SSU rRNA". It matches the Rfam family "Bacterial small subunit ribosomal RNA", at positions 338 to 795 of the family's 1533-position model. The record is from RNAcentral. Lineage: Bacteria; Bacillati; Bacillota; Clostridia; Lachnospirales; Lachnospiraceae.
CCUACGGGGGGCAGCAGUGGGGAAUAUUGCACAAUGGGGGAAACCCUGAUGCAGCGACGCCGCGUGAGUGAAGAAGUACUUCGGUAUGUAAAGCUCUAUCAGCAGGGAAGAAAAUGACGGUACCUGAGUAAGAAGCCCCGGCUAACUACGUGCCAGCAGCCGCGGUAAUACGUAGGGGGCAAGCGUUAUCCGGAUUUACUGGGUGUAAAGGGAGCGCAGACGGUUGCGCAAGUCUGAAGUGAAAUCCCGAGGCUUAACCACGGGACUGCUUUGGAAACUGUGCGACUUGAGUAUCGGAGGGGCAGGCGGAAUUCCUAGUGUAGCGGUGAAAUGCGUAGAUAUUAGGAAGAACACCGGUGGCGAAGGCGGCCUGCUGGACGAAAACUGACGUUGAGGCUCGAAGGCGUGGGGAGCAAACAGGAUUAGAUACCCUGGUAGUC